Molecule: long non-coding RNA, 6700 nt
Organism: Bactrocera neohumeralis
Lineage: Eukaryota; Metazoa; Arthropoda; Insecta; Diptera; Tephritidae
Exons: 3
Source: RefSeq, a predicted model, not a curated record
AAGGUGAAAAUUGUUGCAGCUCUCAGCUAACCUGUACUGGUCACCCAAAACCCACCGCGUGGAGGUGGUUGCUCUUCGGGUUCCUCCCAAGCCCAACCCAACCAACCAACCAUAUGUCAGGCUUGUUUUAGUCUGAAUCUGUGUCAAAUUUAUUGAUAAAAUCAGAUUUUGUACUAAACUUUGGCACUUAUUGCCUAGAUUUCAGUGUAGAGCGUAUAAAACGAUCACGAGAUUGGGGGACAAUAACUUUAGAAGAUGUCUCUGUCACCAGUUUGACGGCUCUCUCGACUGCCACGGUGUGAGAGGGGAAUUCACUAACUUCCCAUACCUCUGCAGUGUCUCCCGAUAGCCCUUUUAUGAGUUCUUCGUUAGAAACUGAACAAAGAACUGGUGGAACAGUCAAGGUAAUAGUCUUCCAGUUAAUCAUAUCGUAAUAAUUAUUAGCUUUGAAAAAAUCUUUAUUUCCUUUGUUGGUUUGUCAGUAGAAAUGUAUAAUCUCAGAAUUCUCUUUGCACAGGUGAGCCAGCGAGAUUUGCACAUGUUACCUGGAUGCAUCGACGCUAAAUCUGAGGAACAUUGACCGGAAAUAACAGCUUCUGAUAUUUUAUAGAGAUAAGCUUGGUCUGUGCUAAGUUGGGUCGGAUUAAUAACCUCAGAAGGUAAUUGGCAGGAUGGAAAACUUUCAUAUUUGACAACAGGCAACUUCUCACAAUCAGGGAGCAGUUUACCUAUGUCGUCAGAGAAUGUAUUUGGACUCUUUGAAACACCAUGUGUACGAAAGGAGCACGAAAUGGAAGUUCGUUGAAAUGUAGAAGACAAACAACCCACUGUAUUGGCCUACCUAUUCUUUCUUCUAGUUUCCGAAUGAUUCCACCUUUCCAACCUGUGUUCGUGUUGGUGCCAUCAGCACCGACAACUUCUAGAUGUUCCACAUCAACUGAAUUGUCUUGUAAAUGUUGCCAUAUUGCUUGCGUCUCAUCCUCAGCUGACCCGGAAGGAGAGGUGACGUGGCCAAAGUAAUGACAACCAGGUUCCGCUAUAAGAGAAAUAUGUUCCUCUUUGACAGUGUCGCGCUAGUACUUUUCACCUUCGCUGACUUGUGUAAGUGUAUUGUCUUUGCGGCCGUCAAAAUACAGCCCAUAUACAGAGUCAAUACUUUCGGUGUUUUGGAGCUUAACUCUAACACUUUUUUUUGCCCGACUAAUCUUGCAUUUGUCAGUGACAAAGCUAGCCUGAUCCUCUGUUAUCAAACCUGCUUUUUCAGCAUCCAGAAAAGCAGAUGAAACAAUCAAGGCCGCUGCUCUAUAACUUACUCCAAAUCCUUGGGCAGCUAAGGCAGUGUGUUCUAAUACUAGUGUGUUUUAUUUGGUUUUAGAGGAUGGAAGGGAAAAUUCAUCAUCAGCAUCGCUUUUGGAAGAAUCCAUGUGCGACGCACCUACAUUGUUGUCGUCUGUAUGAGAGUCUGGCUGAUCUGAAUGGUCACGUGUUCUAGCUGAUACGUUUCUGGUAAGUGUUGAUGUUGAAUGACGUUUUGAAAGCUUUUCUUUACGUUCAUUUUUCUUUGUAAUCUUUUUUGUUUCAGGUAGAUCAACACUUCCAAUGCGACCAAUUCUUCUGGUUCUCUGGUCCAAGAGCAAUGGUUGAUCAUUGAUAGGAACUUUCCUUUUCUUUGGACAAGUGCAAGAAGAAAAAUAAAUGCAUUUACAAGCAGCGAUGUCAAAUAAUUUUCCGGCAGAAGAGACAAAGUUGUCUCUUUUAGAGCUCAAACCUAUUGGGUUUCUUAAAAACAUUUGUUUAAGAGUCAGAAAUUUCUUAUGGUAUGUGGUGAGCAUUUGUACAACUCUGGUGUGUGAAACUAUCGGAAUAGAUGACCUUUUGAAAGUAUUUUCAACCUUUUUGCAACUAUUUCUGUAACCUCUAUACGAAAUCUUUCAAACUGAUAACACAAAAGAACAUCCUGGUAAGUAGGUAACUGGCACUCAGAGAGAUUGUACGGAUAUAUGCCAAACACAGGACAUGUCUGUCUAAAUUUAAAUUUAGAUACAGACAUUUUGAGUUCUGUGUUCUGUUGAGAGAAUAUAAGUGAUAUCACUCGGUGAAAUCAACAACAAGAGUGAAGGAACUCGAUGAAAAAAUAUUUAUGUGGAGACCAGUCCGAACGUGUCGUAUGGCGCAGGGAAAUGAAUGUAAGUGAUAGAACUCGGCGAAAUCACCGAAAAGAGUGAAGGAACUCGAUGAAAAAAUAUUUGUGUGGAGACCUAUCCGAACGUGUCCUUUGGCUUAGGUGAAUGAAUGUGAGUGAUAGCACUCAGCGAAAUCAACGUCAAGAAGUGUGGCCGCAAGCCACCUUUUUUUCACCUUGCGCUGUGGCGCGCCGCAUUUUUGCUCGUAUCUCGGGAACGGUUUGUCCUACGGCCAUGAGUACCAUUUCGGUAGAAAAUGACGUGACAAAUAAUUUUUGUUUUAUACAUUUUGCCAUGAGAUGCGUAUUUCAGGCGCUAGGUAGACAAUUUCACGAUUUUAGGCGAAUUUCCGAAAUUUCAAGGCCGGAGUUGGGGUUUAAGAUGCAAUCCGAUCUCAAAACAAAAAGUUGCAUUGGAAUCAGGAAGUACUAAGGCAACUUUUCCGCACUAUUAGAAAUCCCGAAUCGAAAAAAGUCCGGAAUCGACCCACCCUAUGAUACACCCUGUCCAGAAAGUAUCGGGAUUUCUUCAUUUAACUCUCCCGCUUAUAUAGAAGACAAGUCACUUUUUUUCUAGGUUUGUACAACUGUCCUUAAUUAUGAUGCCAAAAAUUAGCGCGAUCUGUCAACCAGUGUGUUUACCUCAUCUGUUUAUGACAGUCGACCUCAGCUCUCGCGUCGAAUUUGUUCUGAUGUCUUCAACUAACUCAACUCGGUUUCCCUGGAGCCGCUCUUUGAAUUACAAGAAUAGCUAAAAGUAGGGUAGAAGGGGAAGCAUUCGCCAGUGGGGCACAUAUGCCACCACCAAUUAUCUUUAAAAUUAAAUAAGCUAUUGAUAAUCGAAAAACGAUAUUUUGUGCAUUUAUCGAUGAUCUUCCACCUCUCACUCUUUGGUAGUUUCAUUAUAUGUACAUGUGCUCGAGGACGGACGAGGUUUUAUGUUUUACGGACUACCGCGAAAAUAUUUGGUUGUAAGUAUUUUUUGUAAUAACUUUUUUUGGAGGCAUUAGAUGACUCCGGCCAGUCAUCUGAAGGUGAAUAUAUGUAUUCAUCGAAAUAUACCUCAAAUCAAGUUUUCACAAAACAUCAAGAAAAAGAGAUAUGCGAGUAUUUUAAAGCAUGCUCUAACCUACAGCACGGCUUCACCUGUACAAUGGCACGGAAGUUUGUAUUUGAAUAUGCCACAAUAAAUGAUAUUGCCAUGCCUUUAUCAUGGGUGGAUAAUGAAAAAGCUGGAAUUGACUGGAUUCAAGCAUUUAUGAAAAGUAAUCAAGACUUGAGUUUGCGAAAACCUCAAAAUACAAGUCUUUAUCGACUGACUGUAUUUAAGAAAAGCGCAGUAAUGGAGUUUUUCGAUAAUAUGCAGCAUUUGCUCAAAAAUAAUUCAUUGUCUCCGUGUGAUAUUUAUAAUUUAGACGAAACGGGUAUUACUACUGUGUUGCAAUCACCCAAGGUUAUUUCUUCAAAAGGAAGACGAACAGUUUCUCAAGUGGCGUCUGUAGAAAGAGGAUCGCUUGUGACAAUGGUAGGCAUUGUAAAUGCUUCUGGUAACGCUCUACCACCUGUCUAUGUGUUCCCUCGUAUAAAGUAUAAAGAACAUUUCGUGAAUGGGAGUCCCAACGGUUGUCUGGGGAUAACAGAUAAGAGCGGAUAGAUGACAGCUCAAGGCUUUAUAGAAGUCCUAAAGCACAUCAAAAAUAACACUCGGUGUUCCAAGGAGAAACCAAUAAGCCUUUUCCUAGACAAUCACGUCUCCCACUGCAGUCUAACAGCAAUCAUAUUUUGCAGAGAAAAUGGUAUUCAUAUGAUUACUUUUCCGCCACAUACGUCACACAAGCUCCAACCAUUGGUUGUUUGGUCCGUUUAAAAAGUACUUAGCGACUUCGUUCAAUUAUUUCCUUGUAUUCAACCCUGGUAGAAUAAUUACAAUUUACAAUAUAGGUAUUAUCGCUAUCUAAUAUCCCAUUUCGGAAGGCAUUUGCUGCUGAAAACAUUUGCAAAGGAUUUGAAAUGACAGGUAUAAGCCCAUUUAACAAACAAAUAUUUCCUGAAACAGACUUCAUAAACGAACCAAAUGAAGAACAUCCAACCGCUGACAAUGAUAAUGAACCUAUACUUCAACAAGAUGCGAUUUCAAAUGAACCUGAUGUCCUGUUUGAGCCUCCAGUCACACCCCCACCUCUUCCUAAAACUCCGGAGCAAGUCCGUCCACUCCCUAGAAUUCAACAAUCUAAAUCUGACAAAAGAUAGGGAAAAUCCACAAUCUUGACAUCUACUCCAUUAAAAGAAGAAAAGGAACGACCACAGCAGCAAAAGAAAAAACAAGCAAAGAAACCAUUGGUAUGAAAAGGAGUUCCGAAAAUAAUUAAUAAAAAACGUAAAACCUACGUCGACUCAUUAUCUGACUUAGCAGAUGCCUUAAGCUUCGCUGAAUCCGACAGAUCUGUUGGUUCGUGUGUAGAACCAGAGAGCCUUGGUGAGAUCAAAUUCGUACUUGUUCGAUUUGGUGGGCAGGUAGAUAAGUUCUAUGUUGGCAAGAUAUUGUCUGAAUGUCCGAACUCGGUAACUUUUGAUUUUUUAAGAAAAAAGCCAGGUUCAUGGACAUUUUAUGAACCAUGUGUUAACGACAUAUCCUAUAUUCCAAAAGAUGACAUUGCCCUGAAGUUGCCGGACCCAAGCCAUUCCGCAGGAACGUCCCGAUCAGCUGCAACAUACAUAUUUGAUGUAGAUAUGUCGCAGUACAAUGCACACUACACCAAUUACUAUCGCAUAUAGAGAUAUUAAAAGUUAAAUGUUAUUAAGCCAAAGUUAAAUAUAUAAACUGAAUGAUGAAAGCCGAAUAAAAAACGAAUAAUCUCGAUAUAUAAUGACCGGAUGAUGCAAAGGAUGCAACGUUCAGGAAAAAUGUUCAAAUAGACGUUGCGGGCAAGUUGCCUGCUGGACCGCUGGUGGACGCACGGGAUGGAGGUCGGAGAAACGUAAACGGUGUAUAUAAUUGAUGUGUCGAUGCGAACUUUCUAGAAUGUUAAAAUGGACGGUUUUUUAAAUAGACGAUUUCAAAUAGACGAUUGCGAAUAGACGAUGCGUGCAGCGGCGAACGUGACUUCUAGAAGAAAGAAGAAUCAAAAAAAACGGCAGAGCGUCACCUUCUCGUUGGUAUAAGAUGAAAAAUGGAACAAAAACAGUUUGGUGAUGAUCAAUGAUGCCCUAAUUAACAUGUUGAUGUGGAGAGUGUUGUAUUCACUGAUCAGUGAUGCCCUUUAGUUAUAGUUCAUCUCAACACAUUGUUUAAUAAAUAAAAAGAAAAUAGUUGUGCCACAAACUUAAAGUUGCAUUUUCCUUUUGACGAUUGCGCCCCAUCCAACUGGCGAAUUUACCCCAUGGAUGGGGCAGUUUCACCCUUUUGGGCAUCUUGGGAAAUCCGUAAAAUUUGUAUAUAAAUAUGCGAGGUAAUCAGAAUAAAACGGUUAAAAUUUAAAACCAACAAAUGUAAGCUCUUACACAAAAAAAAGUUUUGAAAGACCAUUAACAGUUUUUUUUAUGAGAGCCUCAAAAAAAAAAAGAGGCGAAUGCUCCCCUUCUACCCUAUAUACGUAGUGCUAUUUGUUGAGUGUUUGGCCAAAAUUUAACACAAAUACGUUGAUUUAAAUAUUAAAAUUCGACAAACACUAUUGAGGUCGACCAUAUAAGAAGGAGAUGAGAGGGAAAAAAGAAGAAUUCCCGAUACUUUCUUGACGGGGUGUAUCCAGAAUAUGAAAUAUCUUAAAAACGACAAAAAUUCAUAUUCACAUGUAUAUAACUUAUUAUGAUCGAAAGUAAGAAAGUUGGAAAACAUCAUCCAAUUUAGGUUUAUUACAUUCUUUAAAAAAUAAGGAGGUCAACAUUCCAAUUAUAUUUAGACGUCUUUGUAGAACUUAGCACGGUCCACAUCAAAAUUGUAAAAUUCAUUUUUACACAGCUUUACUGUGAAAAAUUGCUAUAAUUGUGUCUGUUGACAAAUUGCUGCGAUUUUUAUUUUUAUUCAGAUGUUAUGUAAAUGUAAGCAAAAUAGUUAUCAUUUCUUGCGGAAGGAAUCGAUCUCUUGACUUGUUACAUUGAUUGGGGAUAUGCUACAAGACGAUUUUUAUUUUUAUUCAAAUGUUAUGUAAAUGUAAGUAAAAUAGUUGUCAUUUCUUGCGGAAGGAAUCGAUCUCUUGACUUGUCACAUUGAGUGGAGAUAUGUUACAAGACGUUUGAAUUCUACAGUUAUUUUGGCACAACAUCCACAUCUCGCAAAGGCUCCCAAAUCAUUUGAUAUUAAUUUUUCAGGCUGUCAAAUUCUAUAAACUCCACAUACUUUUUGUCGACAUAAUCUUCCUUUAAAUAGCAGGAAGUUACUUUUGAAUAUGUUAUGCUUUAAGCUAUAAUACCAUAUAUACAAAACUUAAUGUUUGUUAUGGGGAAUAGAUGUAUCUAAAAAUUGUAAACAAUACAUGUAAUUUUGUGUAAUGGAGAAAAUAAAUAAUAUUAUUAAUUUGG